Molecule: ribosomal RNA, 440 nt
Filed under: uncultured bacterium
Lineage: Bacteria
Description: partial 16S ribosomal RNA
Rfam family: Bacterial small subunit ribosomal RNA
Source: RNAcentral
CCUACGGGAGGCAGCAGUAGGGAAUAUUGCUCAAUGGGGGAAACCCUGACGCAGCAACGCCGCGUGGGGGAUGAAGGUUUUCGGAUUGUAAACUCCUUUUGUUAGAGAAGAUAAUGACGGUAUCUAACGAAUAAGCACCGGCUAACUCCGUACCAGCAGCCGCGGUAAUACGGAGGGUGCAAGCGUUAGUCGGAAUCACUGGGCGUAAAGUGGGCGUAGGCGGGAUAGCAAGUCAGAUGGGAAAGCCUAUGGCUUAACCAUAGAACUGCAUUGGAAACUGUUAGUCUAGAGUGUGGGAGAGGUAGGUGGAAUUCUUGGUGUAGGGGUAAAAUCCGUAGAGAUAAAGAGGAAUACUCAUUGCGAAGGCGACCUGCUAGAACAUAACUGACGCUGAUGCGCGAAAGCGUGGGGAGCAAACAGGAUUAGAUACCCGGGUAGUC